GGCGGUGGGGACGGUGGCUGGCGCUGAGGGGGAUCGCUCGGACGCUCCCUGCCUCCGUCUCAUUUAAAGCCCUCGCCAAACAAUGAGGAAAGGCGUUUAUUUACAAACACCUUCUUGUGCGGACACUGGGCAAAAGCGCCGAGCUCUCCCCGCUUUUAUGUCCGUACCAUGUCUGUGUUUGCUGGGGCGGAGCGCCCUGUCGCCAGAGUUGCCUUAUUUACUGCAAGAUGUAAACAGGAAUUUACCCUUUCCGUGGUUUAUUUGCUUCCUUAGGCCUUUCCCCAGUACGAAGACUGGCAGGAGGGGCUGGCUGUCCCUUUUCGUCCCCUCUGGCCCCACUGACAGAGAUGCCAGGAGUGACAAGGGAAGCCGGGAUGUUUCCUCGCAGCUCCAUUUAAUUCCUUUUGUCAGCUCCUCUUAAGAGAACUGGACAACUAGAUUUGAUCAUGUUCCCUGAUGCUUUUUUGGAUCGAAGAAGGGUUGCAGCAAAACUGGAUACAGCAGUCUUCAUUUCCUGUCCUCGCUCCGGAAUCCUUGCUGCUAAGGCCUGGCUUUUCUUCCAUUGAAGGAGAUAGGAGCUUUGCCACAGGCUGCAGUGACAGCAGGAGGAGAGCAGACACAGAUUAGGGUUCUUUCUAGCUGUCCUGUCCUAAAAAUGCCAGCUGCUUGGCUGAAGGUGCCCUGCAGUCAGCCACGUGUGGCAGGCCUCGCGCCUUAACGAAGAUCCCAACAAGCAAACAGCACUACUCUCUGGAUGCAUCGGAAAAGCACUUCUGGGUGCCCAUCAAAAAACCACCAAACAGCAGUCGGAGGAGGAAGAACAUCCAUGCUCCAUCUCUGUGACGCCAAGAUACGCUUCGGAAUGCGGGGGGGGGAAAAAAAGAAGCAUCGACUGCCAAGAGCAUUUGGAUAACAGACACUGGAGCUCAGAGCCUUAUCCUGUAAACAUCACCUAGAUGACGCCACGGCAAGGAGUCAGUUUGAAGUCGACUCCAUUACGGAUAAUCAGCAUUGUUCAAACUGGAGCAGGUCCACAACUCUUACUUUACAGCCUAAAACUGCUUUUAUCCCACAAAAAAAAAAUCAGUUGCCAUGCCAGUUCAUUGACCUUGCAGGGAUGCUGUUUUUAAGGGUGCUCAGACAUAUCUGAUAUAUCUACAAGAGCCCUGGCCUGUGUCAGGAAUAUCCUCAGGAAAAGUUGUGCAUGUUUAUGGGAAUCUAAGAGUGCUUGUCAUCAAAAUAAAGUUGAAGAAAUUGUUGGCCGUCAUCGCUGGCAUAGCAGACAGGAGCUGUGCCUAGAAAUAGAGAUUGGCAUAGCAACAUUGCUGACUGUUUUGUAGAGAAGGCGGCUUAUUUUUCCAGACUGCGACAUUUAAUAAACUUUUUCUGUUUGUUGAAACGGCAGAACCCCACUAGAUCAAACUAAAUGCUAAUCUGCUGGAGUCGCCACCACAGACUUUUGUCUCCAGUACGUACACAUCACGAGUCACUGUGGUUUCAUGGGUUUUGUCCUGUGACAUUUGUUCCUUUGUGUUCGUCCACGAAAAACGGACAGAACGAAGGCGGAACGUGUUGGAACGGCCCCACAAAUCCUCCAGACGAUGAUGUGUUUCUACCUUGUGGUGAGGGUUCUGUUAAGCUGCGGGCCGAGCGGCCCUGUGGUGCAAGCUCUGAGGAGGCAUCUGCCGGGGGUUCCACAGGCAUCAGCGCCGCUGCCAGCUGCUCCCCUCAGCCCCCGGCUUUCUGCCCGAACCUUGGAGGCACGCCUCCUAAAAACUCUUGAAACACCAGCCCGUAAAUAAACUCGUCGAAGCUUUUGAA
Calidris pugnax (ruff) is the source of this 1821-nucleotide long non-coding RNA. RefSeq lists it as uncharacterized. The transcript has 4 exons. NCBI's taxonomy places the organism in Eukaryota, Metazoa, Chordata, Aves, Charadriiformes, Scolopacidae. The record is from RefSeq and is a predicted model, not a curated record.